GCCGAAGUGGCGGAAUUGGCAGACGCGCACGGUUCAGGACCGUGUCCCUUUAGGGAAUGCGGGUUCGACUCCCGCCUUCGGCACCG
This 86-nucleotide transfer RNA is filed under the name Candidatus Shapirobacteria bacterium CG09_land_8_20_14_0_10_49_15. RNAcentral describes it as "tRNA-Leu". It matches the Rfam family "tRNA". From Rfam's summary of the family: Transfer RNA (tRNA) molecules are approximately 80 nucleotides in length. Their secondary structure includes four short double-helical elements and three loops (D, anti-codon, and T loops). Lineage: Bacteria; Candidatus Shapironibacteriota. RNAcentral also lists the same sequence under 1 other name. The record is from RNAcentral.